This 332-nucleotide unclassified non-coding RNA is filed under the name Hevea brasiliensis (rubber tree). The record is from RNAcentral. Lineage: Eukaryota; Viridiplantae; Streptophyta; Magnoliopsida; Malpighiales; Euphorbiaceae.
CACAAAGCAGGCACACAAACAAUUCUAUCUUUCUGUCUCUCUCAGCGGUUAUAGGUUUGCGAUUCUUCGUUUUCAUCACCGAAUCAACGGAGAAUUGGACGAUCUCAGUUCCAAUAUCUUCUUCUCAGAUCCACCCAAACAAGGAGAAAUCUCGAUCUGAUCUUCCUACUUCAUCUUACCAGAUUUCGUUUCUCUAUCCAUCCAGGUGACAAUUUAACUAGAAACAGCUUCUAUGGGAACAGAGGAGAUUAAGAAGGAUAUGGAUGUGAGCGAGUGGUUUUCACAGCUGACCUAUGACCAGUGGAUAGCAGUACCUGCUUCUGGUGCACGAC